This is a non-coding RNA of Nomia melanderi (Alkali bee), 3953 nucleotides long. The record is from RefSeq and is a predicted model, not a curated record. Lineage: Eukaryota; Metazoa; Arthropoda; Insecta; Hymenoptera; Halictidae.
CUGCGUCUUACAUGACAACGCUGAAUCCCGUGUUCUUUUUAUUAAAAUUAAUUCCAUUACUAAGGUGACUCACGGGUAAAGAAUUCGAAAAACGAAGGAUGAGUUUGACUACGAGAAACUUAGCAUUCCAUAGCCUAAUUUUGGCUUCCUUGGUACUAUCCGCAUACAGUUUUCCCGAUGGAGCACCGGUGGAUACGUGUGUGAAACCGACUCGUCCUAACGAGCCAAAUCACGGACAAGCAAGGUCGCGACCCUUAGAGAGCAGCCCCUAUGCGUUCUCCGCUUCGUCGUCGCAAUACAGUCCUGGUUCACAAAUAAGUGUCAGCAUCAGCGGUUCGACAUUCAAAGGAUUCUUUAUUCAGGCACGUGAUCCUGAGACAGAUAAAUGGAUUGGUUCCUGGGCUCAAACAGAGAACACGAGCACCCAUCCAGAAUGCAGCGCUGUGACACACGCUGAUCCACAUGUAAAAGAGCACGCGACACUUGUUUGGAAUGCACCGCCGAAUGCACACGGAAGAGUUUAUUUCACUGGGACCAUUUUGAAGGAGUAUGGAACCUACUGGUCCAACGUGGUAGCCACACCUAAACAGUAAGCAACUAUGCAAACUUGUAAGAUCCAGAACAUCGUGAUUUGUAGAUUUUGGAGAGGAAAUCGUAUCUUCGAUAAUUACAGCAGUUACCUUCAAGAAGUUCAAGAAGUUCAUUCUUAAGGGACUCUGACGUCAAGAUAACAAGGAUUCACGUGGUAAUCUGUACAUUAAGAAUUAACGGACACUGUGCCCAGAAGCCAUUGGAGGAAAGUUUCCACGGACGACAAAAGCGUCCUUCUAAAGUAAAAAUGGGAUUCUUUUAUUCUUAAGACGCCUUGAGCUGAAGCGAUGACACUCAAGAAAUCUGAGAAUGUUCCGCAAGUUCGUUUUCACUAAAAUAUUUUUCAAAUUCAUAUUCUUUCGAGAGUUUUAGAAAAGAUGUGAAUUUGCAUUGAUUCAUUUAAAUUAUAGUAACAUUUGAAUAUUUGUUUUCAUUUCUGUUCAGAUAUAAUAUUUUGCUCGACAGAAGUAUUUACCUACCUAUCCUACAUUUUGUGUUUGUUUAACCUAAAAGGCAUUGUAUUCGUUACUCGUAAGUUCUGAAAUGUCAGGAGAGUAAUAAUAAACUGUGUCACGGUUGUCGAAUCUUUAUUUUUUAAAUAUUUAUCAAAUAGACCUUUCAAAUUUGUCGAAACUUUUUGUCUUUCGUUACUAAUACGACUUUAAGGAGUUGUAAAACAUUCACAAUUAUCAAUAGGCCUACUUAUUCAGUUUGAAAUACCUAUAAAAAUCGAAACUCCUAAUUUUUAAAAUAUUUCAGACAACUUAGUUUUUAAAACAUUCAUAUUUUAUAAUGUAAGGAAAUAUAAGAAAUUUACUGUAAUAUUCAUACUUGCAAUAAAUUUAAGAAUUAAUUUGGAACAGUUCAGAUCCAUACACACUGAAAGAAGUAGCACAUUACUGUCUUAGGAAUUUUCAAAAUGAUUAUUUUCAAAUGGGGUAAACGCCGAACACAUUGACUGUAAGUAUUUUGAAGACUAUCAAAAGUGCUGAGAAUAAAAUCUUCAAGACUACCAAAGCUAUCAUGGCUAUCAAAAUACUCAAGUUAACUUCAUUUUCUUGCUACCAAACUUAUUUGAUUCGUUCAAAGGUUCCUUAUAGCGAAGUUUCAAAUAGUCAACGAAAUAGAGGCAAGUAUUCGUCUAAUGUAUAGGAAGGGUACCUGUUCUGUCUCGGUUGGUGUUUAAGGAGCACGAUUACUGGUCCCAUAGUGGGACACACGUGGACUGAUACGGUAAAGGCAGUCGCAACAUGUUCCCAAAGGAGGUUCCGACAUUUCCUCACCGGAUGCCGUUAAUGGAACCCAGCACGCUUCUACGCGAGCAAAAGGAUCGCGGGACAGGGUUACGUAAGUCCACUUGCCCUAAUAGAAGUGGGUCAUUCUCAUAAGGGAAGCUUCGGAAUUUUAGAAGCAACUCUUUUUGUUACUUUACGAUUCCGUCGUCGGAGAAACGACCUUCUAAGAGCUUUCUGAUUGAGCCGGCAGCGACGGGCUCUUGUUGCGCAAAGAGAGACAACGUUCCAGAGUUCACAAUAAAGAGAGUCGUUGGUACUUUACUGUUAUGAAAUGUACAGUCUGCUUCAAUUAACUUGACUAUCUCUGAUAUCAUUGUUUUUAAUGAUACAAAUGAUUAUCAACGUUAUUUAAUGUUUAAACUGAUAUUUCUGACGAGUUUUACUGUUCGAUAAUCGUUUUUGGUUUAUUUGAAUCAGUAUAUUGAUAGUGAUACUUGAAGUAUUAACGCGAAAAAGUCAAUUUAGUUUGAAAAAAGAAAACGGCUGAAGUAGAUUGUAUCGAGGUUUGUACUCUUGAAUGGUACACAUAAGUACCACGAAUAUUUUAAAUUACCGGAAAGCUAUUAAAUGUCUAGAUAAAGGAAAAUUGUAUCACACAGGAAGUUUCGCUUGUGGCUGACAGCUUAAGUGCUAAUCAGCUACCAAUACAUGUGUUUUGGUUGAUUUGUACAGCCGUAAGUUUUUUUUCACAAAAUUUAUAUUAAAAAAAUACAUAUUCAGGAACGAAACGGUUAAAUUACUGGGAAUGAAAAUGAUGAUAAUUUUUCAUAGAAAUGAAGUAUUUUGAAAAUUCAACCGAAUAAACUGUAAUAGUCGUUGGAGGGUAUCUUAGGUUACUGAAGGUGAAAAUGAUGGUUAUUUGUGAAUCAGAAAUUGCGAUAAAAAAACCCUUUCGAAAUAACGACCAGCUCCUCUUAAAGAGAAGUAUGAGUUACUAGAUAUAUUUCCGGUUGGUAGAAGUGGGCCAGCUAUUGUCACUUUAUGGAACCUUAUCAUUUGUAUAAUGUGAACAUGGUAUAAAUAUUAAUUUUUUUUUUGCAACAAAGAGUUAUAAACAAGGUCGAAUUUUCAAAAGGAUUUACUUAUGUCAAAAAUAAUCUUUAUCUUCGUAUUUAACGACCAAGGGCAAUUACAAGAACAGAUAUUCAAAUGAGACUGUCCAGGAAACUAUAUUUUAUCCCAGGAAAUUUAUUAAUUACCAGACAAUGCUAGAAGAUUUAAUUUUUAAAACAUCUAGUAAAUUUCUUAAAAAGUGUAUAUGUAAUUUCGUUCAAUAAAGGAGCACCUAAAUCUUUUAAUUCUGCUGUACUCUUCAAUUUAUUUAUACACUUGAAAUAUUUAAAAAAUAAAACCACCUGGAUUAGUAACAAGAUUUCUGUAAUAUUCUCAAAUUCAAUUUAUCUUGGACGAAAAAAACACGCGAUUAACUUGACAACGGCAGAUUUAAAUGAACAGGGUUAAAUGCAUUGUUGCACUUGUAAAAGAAGUAAAGUCGUAAAGAAAUAUUUCUUCAUAUAUCAUUCAAUUUCUUUGAGUGACAAUUUCUUUUAUAAUCUUUAAUCAAACUCGAAAUAUAACCUGUUUCCAAGUGCGUGACUGACCUUGUAUUUAUUCUUUACAACGGGUUAUAGUAGUGAUUAGUACUGGGUCACAUUUUACCUCUGGUAUCUUUUCUGGUUGUUAAAGAGAAAACAGACGAUAAUAGCAAAGAAUAAUUACUGGGAACAUUGUAGAAGUUUAUGGUAUCUUUUGGAUUGCGUGACAGAACUCUCCUUGCAUGAAAUGGGAGAGCACAAUGUAUUUAACAAUAAUUAUUGUUUCAUGGAGAAAAAUUGAAAUUUCCGAAUAUACAUAUCGUAUAUUCCGGUUUAUUAAAUGAUUGUAUUUGUUAUGAAUGCUUUAUAUGAUUGAAUUUAUCGGUAAAAAUAAUAUGUAUUAAAUAUUUUUUCGAGGACUGUUCUCCGUGUAAAUUGUAUCGAGUAGAAAAUGAAAUCCAUAUUUAUUGAGGUUUAAAAAAACAGCUUGCAUCAGUUUAUCUCGUCUACUCUGUAGAAUGUAUUCAUGAAA